RNAcentral lists this ribosomal RNA (460 nucleotides) under uncultured bacterium. Its description in RNAcentral is "partial 16S ribosomal RNA". It matches the Rfam family "Bacterial small subunit ribosomal RNA", at positions 338 to 795 of the family's 1533-position model. The record is from RNAcentral.
CCUACGGGCGGCAGCAGUGAGGAAUAUUGGUCAAUGGGCGAAACUCUGAUGCAGCGAAGUCGCGUGAGGGAUGACUUCCCUAUGUGUGGUAAGCUUCUUUUAUAAAGGAAUAAAACGCGGCACGUGUGCCUUGUUGCAUGUCCUUUAUGAUUCAGGCACGGCUAACUCUGUGCCAGCAGCCGCGGUAAUACGGAGGAUCCGAGCGUUAUCCGGAUUUAUUGGGUGUAAAGGGAGCGUAGAUGGAUGUUGAAGUCAGUAGUGAAAGGUUGCGGCGCAACCGUAAAAUUGCAGUUGAUACUGGCAGUCUUGAGUACAGUUGAGGUAGGCGGAAUUCGUGGUGUAGCGGUGAAAUGCUUAGAUAUCACGAAGAACCCCGAUUGCGAAGGCAGCUUACUAAACUGUGACUGACAUUGAUGCUCGAAAGUGUGGGUAGCAAACAGGAUUAGAUACCCCAGUAGUC